GAUGAACGCUAGCUACAGGCUUAACACAUGCAAGUCGAGGGGUAACGAGAGGAAAGCUUGCUUUCCUUGUCGACGACCGGCGCACGGGUGAGUAACGCGUAUCCAACCUGCCCCCAACUAGGGAAUAACCUUGCGAAAGUAAGACUAAUACCCUAUAAUUUCCUCAGAUGACAUCUGACGAGGAAUAAAGAUUUAUCGGUUGUGGAUGGGGAUGCGUCUGAUUAGCUUGUUGGCGGGGUAACGGCCCACCAAGGCAACGAUCAGUAGGGGUUCUGAGAGGAAGGUCCCCAACAUGGGAACUGAGACACGGUCCAAACUCCUACGGGAGGCAGCAGUGAGGAAUAUUGGUCAAUGGGCGGAAGCCUGAACCAGCCAAGUAGCGUGCAGGAUGACGGCCCUAUGGGUUGUAAACUGCUUUUAUACAGGAAUAAAGUUAGCCACGUGUGGUUAUUUGUAGGUACUGUAUGAAUAAGGACCGGCUAAUUCCGUGCCAGCAGCCGCAGUAA
RNAcentral lists this ribosomal RNA (506 nucleotides) under uncultured bacterium. RNAcentral's name for it is "partial 16S ribosomal RNA". It matches the Rfam family "Bacterial small subunit ribosomal RNA", at positions 28 to 523 of the family's 1533-position model. The record is from RNAcentral.